GGGAAUGCAAUAUUUUGGCUUUGAUGGUAAUGAUCUUUAAAAAAAGCAAGUUGAGCUAAUAUCUCACAAAACUAUUAAACAAGUAUAAGUGCAACAAACUUAUCUAAAAGAGUAGCAAGAGUAAAAGCCGCACUAGCUGCAGCCUAUGCUCAUCAAAACGCUGCUUAUGUUUAUGCCUAAACAGGCGUAAACCGUUUUUAUAGCUGAUUCUCAAUAAGCUAUUUAAGACGUCAUUUAUUGAGAUAGAUAAAUAAAAUAGAUGCUUACUAUUAAUUUAUUAAAAAAUUAAAAAAGCUAAUUUUAGGAUAUUUUGUUUGUUCUAAGUUCUAAAAUGAAAAAUUUAAACAAACUAAACUUGUAGAAAUUUUUACUGCAUCAUUAUCCAGACGGCGGUUCGAUCCCGCCCAUUUCCACAG
This 416-nucleotide transfer-messenger RNA is filed under the name bacterium. It matches the Rfam family "transfer-messenger RNA". From Rfam's summary of the family: Bacterial tmRNA, also known as 10Sa RNA or SsrA, is named for its dual tRNA and mRNA-like properties. Its role is to liberate the mRNA from a stalled ribosome. RNAcentral also lists the same sequence under 1 other name. The record is from RNAcentral.